UACGUAGGGUGCGAGCGUUAAUCGGAAUUACUGGGCGUAAAGCGUGCGCAGGCGGUUUUGUAAGCCGGAUGUGAAAUCCCCGGGCUUAACCUGGGAAUGGCAUUCGGGACUGCAAGGCUGGAGUGCGGCAGAGGAGACUGGAAUUCCUGGUGUAGCAGUGAAAUGCGUAGAUAUCAGGAGGAACACCGAUGGCGAAGGCAGGUCUCUGGGCUGACACUGACGCUCAUGCACGAAAGCGUGGGGAGCAGACAGG
This 253-nucleotide ribosomal RNA is filed under the name uncultured bacterium. RNAcentral's name for it is "partial 16S ribosomal RNA". It matches the Rfam family "Bacterial small subunit ribosomal RNA", at positions 524 to 776 of the family's 1533-position model. The record is from RNAcentral.